CGCUGGCGGCGUGCUUAACACAUGCAAGUCGAACGGAAAGGCCCUGCUUUUGUGGGGUGCUCGAGUGGCGAACGGGUGAGUAACACGUGAGUAACCUGCCCUUGACUUUGGGAUAACUUCAGGAAACUGGGGCUAAUACCGGAUAGGAGCUCCUGCUGCAUGGUGGGGGUUGGAAAGUUUCGGCGGUUGGGGAUGGACUCGCGGCUUAUCAGCUUGUUGGUGGGGUAGUGGCUUACCAAGGCUUUGACGGGUAGCCGGCCUGAGAGGGUGACCGGCCACAUUGGGACUGAGAUACGGCCCAGACUCCUACGGGAGGCAGCAGUGGGGAAUAUUGCACAAUGGGCGGAAGCCUGAUGCAGCAACGCCGCGUGCGGGAUGACGGCCUUCGGGUUGUAAACCGCUUUCGCCUGUGACGAAGCGUGAGUGACGGUAAUGGGUAAAGAAGCACCGGCUAACUACGUGCCAGCAGCCGCGGUGAUACGUAGGGUGCGAGCGUUGUCCGGAUUUAUUGGGCGUAAAGGGCUCGUAGGUGGUUGAUCGCGUCGGAAGUGUAAUCUUGGGGCUUAACCCUGAGCGUGCUUUCGAUACGGGUUGACUUGAGGAAGGUAGGGGAGAAUGGAAUUCCUGGUGGAGCGGUGGAAUGCGCAGAUAUCAGGAGGAACACCAGUGGCGAAGGCGGUUCUCUGGGCCUUUCCUGACGCUGAGGAGCGAAAGCGUGGGGAGCGAACAGGCUUAGAUACCCUGGUAGUCCACGCUGUAAACGGUGGGUACUAGGUGUGGGGUCCAUUCCACGGGUUCCGUGCCGUAGCUAACGCUUUAAGUACCCCGCCUGGGGAGUACGGCCGCAAGGCUAAAACUCAAAGGAAUUGACGAGGCCCCGCACAAGCGGCGGAGCAUGCGGAUUAAUUCGAUGCAACGCGUAGAACCUUACCUGGGUUUGACAUGGAUCGGGAGUGCUCAGAGAUGGGUGUGCCUCUUUUGGGGUCGGUUCACAGGUGGUGCAUGGCUGUCGUCAGCUCGUGUCGUGAGAUGUUGGGUUAAGUCCCGCAACGAGCGCAACCCUUGUUCACUGUUGCCAGCACGUUAUGGUGGGGACUCAGUGGAGACCGCCGGGGUCAACUCGGAGGAAGGUGGGGAUGACGUCAAGUCAUCAUGCCCCUUAUGUCCAGGGCUUCACGCAUGCUACAAUGGCUGGUACAGAGAGUGGCGAGCCUGUGAGGGUGAGCGAAUCUCGGAAAGCCGGUCUCAGUUCGGAUUGGGGUCUGCAACUCGACCUCAUGAAGUCGGAGUCGCUAGUAAUCGCAGAUCAGCAACGCUGCGGUGAAUACGUUCCCGGGGCUUGUACACACCACCCGUCAAGUCAUGAAAGUUGGUAACACCCGAAGCCGGUGGCCUAACCGUUGUGGGGGAGCCGUCGAAGGUGGGACUGGUGAUUAGG
RNAcentral lists this ribosomal RNA (1438 nucleotides) under uncultured organism. RNAcentral describes it as "16S ribosomal RNA". It matches the Rfam family "Bacterial small subunit ribosomal RNA". The record is from RNAcentral.